AUGGAGAACGCAGGGAGAGGAUCAGGGGCGAGGCGCCAGCCGCUGCCGCAUGAGUCCUCUGGGCCGGCCCCUGCGUGCGGUCAGCAGCCGUGCGGCAUGGCCUGGGCUGCGGCUGCCGGGGACGACGAGGGGCUCCGGAUUCUGCUUAUUCAGAGGCGCCCGGCCGCCAUGUCUCCCGGGCAGCGUCACUGCAGUCUCCCCGGGGCCUGGCGCGCUCGGGCUCGCGUCUCGCUCGCUCGCUCCACCUGCUCCCUCUGGCAGCGCUGCAGCCGGUGCGGAAUGAUGCAGUCUCGGCCCGCUCCCUCCCUUCGCGCCUGGCCCCGGCUCCGAGCAGGGGGCGGGGAGGCGGAUGGAGUCAGCGCGGGGGGAGGGAAGGAACCGACGGAAACAUCCCGAGGCGCCUCCCGCCGGGCGCGGUGGGCCGCCACCGCCGUCUGCACCGGGGGGCGCGCGGGCGGGAGGCCGAGGCGGAGGCGGCGGGACGCGCGCCGGGGGAACCUCCGCCCCGCCCGGCGGGCCGCGGACGCGAGUUCCUCCCAGGACUUUGACCCGCGGACACCGAAGCCCCCCCGCCCCCGGAGUGGCGGGGACGCCCCUGCUCUGCCGCUGCGACGGGAGCCCGAGCUCAGGAACCGCCUGGAAUCGACGCCUUUCCCAGGGAAAAGCAAACAGACAGUCUUCACUAACGUUGCGUGCCUUUGCACAGCAGUCUGUGCCCAGCUUGCCACAGGACUGGGAUCUGCUCCGAAAAAUGCAUACACCCAGUAAGCCUUUAGAGAAGCAGGGGAGAUAAUGACCACAUCAUUUCCAAUUAUACUGCCUUGAUGUCACAGUCCAGUUGUGAAGCUCCUCCUGGGCGCCCCACAAUGAAGAAUGAUCAUGACCUGCUGAGAGAAGAGAUAAAAGCUAUAAUUGGGUCUGGAACUCAUGACCAGGAGACCAAGAAUCACAUGCUCUUCUGCCUGAGCCAGCCAGGUGCUCCAGCAUUAUGUGAAUUUCAAAUGAAAGAAAUGGAUGGUAUUAUCCAGGAAAAGAGUACAAAUAGAGAAGAAACUGAGGUCCUUGAGGUACCCCUAUUUAAGGUUGAGUUAAAGAGGAAAAGCCAACAAAGUUAAGAGGUAACUACAGAGAACAAACUGAUGGUUACCAGAAGGGAUGUGGGUGAGGGAAUGAGUUAAAUAGUUGAUGGGGAUUAAGGAGUGCACUUGAAGAGUGAAGGAAUAAGGACCAAGUCAAUGCCAUUGAGAGAUCAAGGUAAAGUAAGAUGAGGACAAAGAAAUGUUACUAUAUUUAGCAACAUGCAAAUAGGUACUCUUGACCACAGUAGUUUGUGCAGGACAAAGAGGGUAAAAACCAGAAUAUAGGAGAUUGAAACAUGAAGAGAGGUUUAAGAUGUGGAAACAGCUGGAGCUCACAAUGCCCCAAGAAACAGUGGAGGGAACGACAUACAAAGAUAAUGUGAAUCUGGAUUGGAAUCUCAGCUAUGAAAUGCUGGAGGGAAAUCCACCCUUUAAGAGCAGUUCACACUGAGAUGUCCAAAUGCACCUCAAGGUAAGAGUGAGAGCCCCUGUCAAUGCCUUUGAGCCAGAACUUGAUCUCCAAGCUGCUCAGAUAUCUGCCCUCUGAGAAGCUCCCUCUGUCCCAGAUCCUGGAGCACACCCCUGGGUCCAGGCCCACUCCCAGAAGGUGCUGCCUCCCUCUGCUUACAUGGUUUCCUGUGUCCUGGCUACUCUCUUCUAGGUACUGGUUCAGGGAGCACUCCCAACUCUGCUACCUCAUCUGUCUUUUGUCUCUUCUAAG
RNA transcript from Lutra lutra (Eurasian river otter), 1800 nucleotides. RefSeq lists it as uncharacterized. The transcript is spliced from 4 exons. NCBI's taxonomy places the organism in Eukaryota, Metazoa, Chordata, Mammalia, Carnivora, Mustelidae. The record is from RefSeq and is a predicted model, not a curated record.